UUUUGGAGCAUGGCACACUGAUGAAUGCAAGUGGAAAUGAAUGAAAGUUUGUUUGAUGUAAGUGAAGAAGGGUUUACUGGAAGAAGGAGAACGUGAUGAAGGGCAACUACUGCGAAUGAAAGAGGUGACAAUUGCUCUCUUUGAAGUGAAGACCCUAGGGCUUGUGGGUUCUGAUUCUAAAUAAGAAAGGAUAAUAGAGUAUUGGAC
RNAcentral lists this long non-coding RNA (207 nucleotides) under Vigna radiata. Its description in RNAcentral is "long non-coding RNA (VRAD_LNC002954)". Lineage: Eukaryota; Viridiplantae; Streptophyta; Magnoliopsida; Fabales; Fabaceae. The record is from RNAcentral.